UAAGGCCCUUGGUCUUACAUUUUGGAGGCCCCAGCGAGAUGCCCGGGUAAGGAACCCCGGUUCAGCCGAGACUCUGUGGCGGGAUCCAGCAGGAGACUCAGGCACAGACCUCAGAAAACCUCCGGAGGUUUGAUUCCAAGACCCUGGAACCUCAUUGGAAAGGGCCGGUUCCUGUUGUCCUGUCAGCUCCCUUGGCGGUAAAGGUGGCUGGACAUUCUGCCUGGAUACAUUGCAACCAUCUAAAACCAGGACCCCCCGCGGACAUCAAAAAGGACAAAUGGAAGAUUAUCAGCCAACCGGGCUACCAAAAGCUAAGAUUGGAGCGGGUUGGAUAUGCUUCACCUUCAUGAUAAUAUUUUCUAGGACAUUGACAGUAUUGCCCUCAGGAGAGUUAGAUCACACAAAAAAAUAUAUGGAUUCAAUUGGCAAACUUGCUUAAUCUAUCUAAAUUCUGUUUAAGUGUUGAUGUAAAUUUCCAUUAUGUAUUAGGAAGUUGUCUUAUCCCGGUGUGCACCCCUUUAGAGUCAAUACGGCCUUAUACUCUGUUUAAAGAUAUUCCAAAAAAACUUUACUUAUAUAGAUAGUUAUAAUUGGAGGCCUGUCACAUGUCAUAAGCCUAAAAAUGCUGUCAAAUUGUAUAUGCCUAAAGUGAUCAUGUCAAAUGAGACUGAAUGUGCUGUAUAUGAAAAUUGUACAACUAAAUGUUUAAAGAUCAAACAGUUAAAAAAAAGUCCUGCCGUGUAGAACAAAAAAAUUGUAUAUAACAACUGCCAUAUUUCUUUGCCAAUGGGAUGGUUUUAUACCUGUGAAGGAGAAACUUUCAACUACACUCCAGCUAAUUUAACCAAAACUCGCUGCUGUUUAAGUCGAUUAGCUGUAGUAUUACCAGAUAGAACUGAUUUGAUUGUGCCUAACAGAACUAAAUGGUGGUCACCUUAUACUGCACCAAGAUGUGAUGAUGAUGUGGGUCUGUUAACAGAUGCUGAAGUAAUAACCAUGAUAGCUUCUUUUGUUGCCCUGCUGUCUAUAGGAGUACAUGCUGAAAAGGCCGUACGAAAAUUAGCUUGUAAGGUAGUAAAAGGGUUAAAUGCCACUUCGUCGGCCUUGGCGCUAAUCGACCAAGAGUUACAAAAACAGAGACAAGCGAUCUUAGACAAUAGAGCAGCAAUAGAUUACCUGUUGCUCUUCCACCACCAAGGCUGUGAAAAAA
Molecule: non-coding RNA, 1210 nt
Organism: Heterocephalus glaber (naked mole-rat)
Lineage: Eukaryota; Metazoa; Chordata; Mammalia; Rodentia; Bathyergidae
Source: RefSeq, a predicted model, not a curated record